Molecule: long non-coding RNA, 538 nt
Filed under: Ananas comosus (pineapple)
Lineage: Eukaryota; Viridiplantae; Streptophyta; Magnoliopsida; Poales; Bromeliaceae
Description: long non-coding RNA (ACOM_LNC021522)
Source: RNAcentral
GCUCAAAUUCGUGGCGUUGGUAGAGAAGAUGCUCGCGAACGCGUUGGGAGCGACGGAUCGAGCUUUCGUGCGCCCGUUGGAGCGGCGUGUUUUCGUCGCGGCGUUCACAUUGUGGUAAGCUUUUAGGAUUUGGCUUAAUCCUUAGUUUUAAGUGUCCUGAUAGCCUCUAAUGAGCAUUCUAAACAUGUUUGCUCUAUUUAAUUUGGAUUAUUUAGAGGUUAAUUGCAUGUUAGGGCUCCGAAUGGAGUUUUGUAAAAUGUAUGAGUUUGAUCUCAUUUGACCCUCAGUAAACCAAAUUGCUAGGUAAACGAACGCGUUGGCGAAGACGGUUCGGCGAUUCGUCGAGCCGUUACAAGGUUAUUAAAGAAAUGGACAUUUAGGCUUCGGGUCCGCCGGGAGGGCCGAGGCGACGUCAUAAAAUCAUGGAAAUGGAUUUGAGGCAUCAUGGCACAUAACCGAGGACCUAUAAUUUUCGGGGCUGCGAAGCGGAGCACGGUUGAGGCGCAGUUGCGAUAUCGGGCCGUGCCGGAUACGGGUG